RNAcentral lists this unclassified non-coding RNA (254 nucleotides) under Hevea brasiliensis (rubber tree). Lineage: Eukaryota; Viridiplantae; Streptophyta; Magnoliopsida; Malpighiales; Euphorbiaceae. The record is from RNAcentral.
UCCUGCAAUUGUGCCUUGUUGACCAGGAGAAUUGUCAUAUAUCUUCCAAGCAUUUUUAAGUAACUUUAGCGCCUGAUCAAACUCAUUCAUAGAUUGAUAGAUAGCAGAAAUAUCAAUAAAUCCACUGGCCAUCUCUUCUAUAGGAUUCCCAGGAUUGUGUUUUUCAUAAAUUCGAAGCGCAUUUUCGCAAUAAAUUUUAGAAUCCCUGAACUUCCCUAUCCUAUUAUACAAAUCAGCCAAGCGUACGAAAGCUG